Molecule: long non-coding RNA, 454 nt
Filed under: Pan troglodytes (chimpanzee)
Lineage: Eukaryota; Metazoa; Chordata; Mammalia; Primates; Hominidae
Description: lncRNA (ENSPTRG00000053792.1)
Source: RNAcentral
AUAAUAUGCUUAUGUAUUUCUAGAAACUGAUGUAUAAAGGCUUCCUGGGAGUGAAAUGGUUCUUUCAGAAUGGCUUUUGGAUGAUACAUAUAUCUCUGAUGACAUAGAGAAACAUGCACUGCCUCAGUUGGGAUUAGAGGAUCUGAGCAGUGGCUGGCCACUCCAAUCACCAUGCUGUGCUGCCUUCUUCCAAGCCCCAUCUCACCAGAUCAUAUGGUCACAGCAGAAGGGCAUGUUUUCACACUGAGCACCAGAGGCUUUAGAACAACUUCACUUCUGUCCACAUGUCAACCACAAUGUUGACCUACGAGUGCAAGGCAUGUGUAAUGUGAUCAAGGAAGGUUCGCUGAGAUGCUGAAAUGAGAUACAGAAUACAAUGAUCAUAUUCAGGUAAUUUAUGGGUUGAAUUUUUCCAUGUUUAUGACUGAAAUCUAACAUGUAUUAUUUCACCAGG